ACACAGCGCUCGCCUCAGUAGUCACCUGCCAUUUCCAGUAAGGGCUCAUGUACACAAAUGUAUUUUCUUUCCGUGUCCGUUCCAUUUCUUUUUUUAUAUGUGGAAUCAUUCAUUUUAAUGGGUCUGCAAAAAAAAAAAAAAAGUUUAUUCCGUGUGCAUUCCGUUUCCGUAUGUCCGUAUUUCCGUUCCGCAAAAAAAUAGUACUUGUCCUAUUAAUGGCCUUAAAACGGACAAGGAUGGUACUGUUCUAUUGUGGGCCAGCUGUUCCGUUCCGCAAAAUACGGAAUGCACACGGACGUCAUCAGUAUUUUUUGCGGAUCUGUUUUAUGCAGGCAGCAAAAUACAUACGGUCGUCUGCAUGAUCUCUACUUCUGAUAGACAUCGGACUGCAUAAUCAUGAGGUCUCUGACUGCAGAGACUUCCUAAGUUUGAGUGUAGAAAGGGUUACCAGAGCAGCCAGCAUGCUGGAGCAGAUGUAGCCAUCAGGCUAAAAGGGGGAAGGUGUGUGUGUGUGUGUGUGUGUGUGGACGGAGUGUACUGAAUCCUGUAGCUGCAAGUGGUGUGGUUCCCCCCUCCCUCCCCUUCAAAAUAAUGCAGGAAUGGUUUCUUCCCUGGGCUCCUCCACCCCUCCCCUGUGAAGUGUUAAGAGGAGCAAAGCUGGGGGGUUAGCCUCUUCUCUCCGGCUGCUGUCAGGAGCUUUAUCCUGCAGGUAUGGCUGAUGAGAAGCUGGUGACUGCCCUCUGUUCCCGGGUGCAGACUGGUCUGGAAGUGUCGGUUGUCAUAGGCGGCACCCUAAUGCUACCCGGAAACGCAGGUGGUUGUGACACUGUUUCAGAUCUUCCUGACACAGCAGGCGUUCUACCCGUUCCAAAUCUUCCCGUUGGUGCUCGCCAUUGACGUCCGAUCUGAGUUCCUCAUUGUUCUUUUGGCCAGUCAGGCGUCCUGGGUCAGUCAGACCAGCGCGGUUUCGGUGGCACCUGCUCUUCCAGAGUUUCAGCCCGUGGUUCCUGUGGAUCUUCCGAUGCCAGAGGGCGUUGCAGAAGUUUCGAGACCUGUUGCCGGAUGCGGAGAUGGAGGGCUUCCCAUGCCCACCCCACCUGUGGGAUCUGGUGACCAGCGGUUGAUUUCUUUAGUCCAGGCUUGGUUGCACCAGCCACCUGGCUAGGUCAUGAUAUCCGCCGUUCGAUAGUUUGCGUCCUCGGCCACUCCUAUGUUUUCUGGGUAGCCCACAGGAUGAAAUAUAGACCUAGAGGUAGAAGCCUGGGUUUCACGAAUAUUGAGGUCCACUGGCGAGGAAUCCGUGGCCUGCGAUGGUCUCAGGUAUUGCAGAAAGCCGUUGAGUUGAGCAGGCUUUAUUGCUCCCCUGUCAUGUUGAUUAUACAUGCCGGUGGUAACGACAUCUGUUUUCCAGCUCAUCCCUCAUGACAGCACAACAGGAGGUUGUUCCCCUUUGACCUUCUUGGCACAGAAAACAGAGGUUAAAAGGUCCCUCCCCCCUCCACCCAGAAGUAGUUCUUCCUGUCCCUACAGGGGAUAGACACAGAGAGGUUCCCUGCUCUAGGGUUGAAGUGAUUCUACAAGCCCUCUUAGGGCCUAAGGCCUCUCCUUCCAGGUCUCGAAUAGCCUUGCUAACACCUCUCAGGGUAGAGGUCCCUAAGCAGCCCCGAACCCAUCUGGCGGAGUCCAAGCCUAUCGGAGGGUUCUUUGAUGGUCUGGGUUCGAUCGUUGGGUUCAUUCUCAUCCUUCCUACCCUAUAAGUGGCCAGGCCAAUACCUCUUAUGUGGAGGUCCCCUGGCUUGCUCCUAACCCUGAUGAAGUUGGUAAUGCAGCUGGUGGUUACCUCACUAUGUAUGGCUAUGGGUUCAUGGAGCUUAGAUCCGCUGUUCCUUACUAGAGUUCAGCAGGAUCGGGCCUCAGUGCAUCUGAAACAGUCAGCAGCUGGAAAGCCUUUUCUUUUCUCCUUACCAACGCUCCAUGUGCAAGAUUUGGCAGAAGCUGCAUGACAUUAUUGGUGCUUGCGUUGGCUGCACAUACUCCAAGAUUGGUAAGUAAACCAUGCAAACUAUUUGUCAGGUAAGUAAACCAUGAAUGUGUUUAACCAACUGGAUUGCCUCAACAGUUAUAAUUACUUUAAUUGAGAAUGUGUGUGGAUCUAAAUGGGAACUUGGGCAAUAGUAGCAUCAACUGUUUUUUUAAUGAGGACUGAAUGUGGAUUUAAGAUUUUCAGGCUGCAUUCAGGAGUAUACGGACUCCUUUGUGGUGGUGUUGGUCAUAAUUGAGUGUAACAAAUGGUGGACUUGCCCACAGGGAGUCCAGUGGUCUGGCAUACCGCUUCUUUAAAAAUUUGAUAUGCUGUUUUUCAUGUUGAAAUAAUGUUGGUUGGAAAAAAUGUAUGCCUUUUUAAUAAAGCUCCUCCCAAAAAAUAAAAUUGUCAGUGUUUAUGGCAGGUGGGAUGCAAGGUUGGGUAAAGGGGUUAUAGUUCUCGGCAGUCUGAUAGACCCCAGACUGCAUGAGGAGAUGGUCUCUGACUGCAGAGACUUCCUAAGUUUGAGUAUGGAAAGGUUUAACAGAGCUGCUAACCUGCUGGAGCAGAUGUAGCCAUAAGGCUAAAGGUGGGGGGGAGUGUACUGAAUCCUCCCAAAUAAUGCAGGAAUGGUUUCUCCCCUGGGCUCCUCCCUCCCCUCCCCUGUGAAGUAUUAAAAGGAGCAAACCUUGGGGGUCAGCCUCUUCUCUCUGGCUGCCAUCAGGAACUUAGCCACCCUCCCUCCCUGCUCUAUGUUGGUGUUUUUGUGUGAUUGUUUUAACUGUUUUCUCUCUUUUGUAGAGAUUGUUUCUUCAAGUCACAGCUGUUGGGCGGUGUUAGUCAUAAUGGAGUGUAACAGAAGGCGGACUUGCCCACCGGGAGUCCAGUGGUCCAGCAUACCACUUCUUUAAAGACUUGAUAUGCUGUUUUUCAUGUUGAAAUAAUGAUGGUUGGAAAAUUUACGCCCUUUAAUAAAGCUGUGAGC
Long non-coding RNA from Bufo gargarizans (Asiatic toad), 3008 nucleotides. RefSeq lists it as uncharacterized. The record is from RefSeq and is a predicted model, not a curated record. The transcript is spliced from 3 exons. Lineage: Eukaryota; Metazoa; Chordata; Amphibia; Anura; Bufonidae.